ACACAGUUUGUCGAAAUAAAUUAUCGACAUCGAAGAAGAUUAGUAUUGCACAUCACUAUUUGUUGUAGGUAUACAUUUUUCGAUUUAUGGUGCCGGCGCUAGAGGCACGACAAUUGAUUUUAAGCUCGGCGGUUAAAGGGU
Molecule: long non-coding RNA, 141 nt
Organism: Aricia agestis (brown argus)
Lineage: Eukaryota; Metazoa; Arthropoda; Insecta; Lepidoptera; Lycaenidae
Exons: 3
Source: RefSeq, a predicted model, not a curated record